Molecule: long non-coding RNA, 298 nt
Filed under: Capsella rubella
Lineage: Eukaryota; Viridiplantae; Streptophyta; Magnoliopsida; Brassicales; Brassicaceae
Description: long non-coding RNA (CRUB_LNC000968)
Source: RNAcentral
AAGAAUUUGACUAAACGAAUGUAUAUAACUUAUAAAACAGGAAUCCGAAAAUGUUAUUGGUGGAAUGAACUUUUUUUUAACUGUACGGUUCACAAGUGGUCUUCUUUCUUCUGAACAACCAAAGAAGUUUUACAGACACACGUGAAUGCCCAAACGAAUAAACACUCUCUCGUGACACAUUAUAAUUUUUUUUUUUACUUUUGUUAUCUUCGUUUCUUACAGAAGUAGCAGUUAAUAGUUUUUGUCUAUAUACAAAUCAUGAAUUUCAUAUUUACUUUUUGGAAAAAGGAAAAGAUUC